AGCCUCAUUCUAGAUGCAAAUGGGAACUGUUGUGCAUGGUGUCCAGAUAUUACUGAUGUGGCCACACUGAGACAUAGGUUUUGUUUCCAUCACAGUAAGUUUAUUGCAGUGGUGACAAGGAGACCUGUAACAUGU
This 135-nucleotide small nucleolar RNA is filed under the name Balaenoptera musculus (blue whale). RNAcentral's name for it is "Small nucleolar RNA SNORA1 (ENSBMSG00010022228.1)". It matches the Rfam family "Small nucleolar RNA SNORA1". From Rfam's summary of the family: ACA1 is a member of the H/ACA class of snoRNA that guide the sites of modification of uridines to pseudouridines. Lineage: Eukaryota; Metazoa; Chordata; Mammalia; Artiodactyla; Balaenopteridae. The record is from Rfam by way of RNAcentral.